GCGAGCCCACAUCAUGGAUGGCGAGCUCUCAGGUUUCUCCUGGCUCGCCCUGGCAUCCCAGAACCCAGACGACCAGCGGGAUUCAUGAGCCGCUCUCAGGGGCCGGGGCAGGGGCCUCUGGCUCCCAAAGCUGGCCAAGAGGUGGGUCCCGGGGCGGGUCGCUGCUCCCGAGGCCGGGCGGGGACGCUCUGCCCCCGCCCUGCCUCCCUGUGGUCCACACCCCCUUUGGGCUCCGCAGCCUGCCGGCUGGGAUAACACAGGGUGCACGCGAGCCGGCGCUGCCAGCCCCGCUACUGCCCGGGGUUCGGGUCCCAGGUGCAGGGGACCGGGCACCUGAGUCCUCCUCGCCUGCCCCUCCUCCCUAUUCACCUGCCCUGCUCGUCCACUAGCCUUCAAGGCCAACGACUCAGCCCAGACGGCGAGGGACCAGCAGGGGGAGAGCGCACCUGAGGAUACACAGCUGGUCCUGCGCUGCCUUUUCACCCCUAGGUGAUGAGUGAGGCCAGGAGAACGCAAGAUUUAAAAAGCAACCGGGGCCUCCGUAUUGAAUGAAAGACCCACAGCGAAGGCAUCACCAUGAACACGAGCAUUCCUUACCAGCAGACUCCUUACAGUCCCCGGGGCAGCUCCAAUGUCAUCCAGUGCUACCGAUGUGGAGACACCUGCAAAGGAGAAGUGGUCCGUGUCCAUAACAACCACUUCCACAUCAGAUGCUUCACCUGUCAAGUGUGCGGUUGCGGCCUGGCCCAGUCGGGUUUCUUCUUCAAGAAUCAGGAGUACAUCUGCACCCAGGACUACCAGCAGCUCUACGGCACCCGUUGUGAUAGCUGCCGGGACUUCAUCACGGGUGAGGUCAUCUCGGCGCUGGGCCGCACCUACCACCCUAAGUGCUUCGUGUGCAGCUUGUGCAGGAAGCCUUUCCCGAUUGGAGACAAGGUGACCUUCAGUGGUAAAGAAUGUGUCUGCCAGACGUGCUCCCAGUCCAUGACCAGCAGUAAGCCCAUCAAGAUCCGCGGACCAAGCCACUGUGCUGGGUGCAAAGAGGAGAUUAAGCAUGGCCAGUCACUCCUGGCACUGGACAAGCAGUGGCAUGUCAGCUGUUUCAAAUGCCAGACCUGUAGUGUCAUCCUCACUGGGGAGUACAUUAGCAAGGACGGUAUUCCGUAUUGCGAGGCUGACUACCACUCCCAGUUCGGCAUUAAAUGUGAGACAUGUGACCGGUACAUCAGUGGCAGGGUCUUGGAGGCAGGAGGGAAACACUACCACCCCACCUGUGCCAGAUGUGUGCGCUGCCACCAGAUGUUCACCGAAGGGGAGGAGAUGUAUCUCACAGGUUCUGAGGUUUGGCACCCGAUCUGCAAGCAGGCAGCCAGGGCCGAGAAGAAGCUCAAGCAUAGACGGACAUCUGAAACUUCCAUCUCACCGCCUGGGUCCAGCAUUGGGUCGCCUAACCGGGUCAUCUGCGACAUCUAUGAGAACCUGGACCUCCGGCAGAGACGGGCCUCCAGCCCAGGAUACAUCGAUUCCCCCACCUACAGUCGACAAGGCAUGUCUCCCACCUUCUCCCGUUCACCUCAUCACUAUUACCGUUCAGGGCCUGAGAGUGGCCGGAGCUCUCCAUACCAUAGCCAGUUAGAUGUGAGGUCCUCCACUCCAACCUCUUACCAGGCUCCCAAGCACUUUCACAUCCCAGCUGGAGAAAGUAACAUCUACCGAAAACCCCCGAUCUACAAACGGCAUGGUGAUUUGUCCACAGCAACCAAGAGUAAAACAAGUGAAGACAUCAGCCAGGCGUCCAAGUAUAGUCCAGCCUACUCACCAGACCCCUACUAUGCUUCAGAGUCUGAGUACUGGACCUACCAUGGGUCCCCAAAAGCGCCCCGAGCCAGAAGGUUCUCGUCAGGAGAGGAGGAGGAUUUUGAUCGCAGCAUGCACAAGCUCCAGAGUGGGAUUGGCCGGCUGAUUCUGAAGGAAGAGAUGAAGGCACGGUCAAGUUCCUACGCGGAUCCUUGGACCCCUCCACGGAGCUCCACCAGCAGCCGGGAGGCCCUGCACACGGCUGGCUAUGACAUGUCCCUCAAUGGCUCUCCUCGUUCACACUACCUGGCUGACAGCGAUCCCCUCAUCUCCAAAUCUGCCUCACUGCCUGCCUACAGGAGAAACGGGCUACACAGGACACCCAGUGCCGACCUCUUCCACUACGACAGCAUGAACGCAGUCAACUGGGGCAUGCGAGGUGAGCACUGCAGGCUGCAGCUGCAGGGGCAGGCCAUCCCAAGACUUCCCAGAGACUCCCGAUAGAGCACUGACUGUUGCUUGACCUGCAUACCAUGGCUACCGGUUCUGUCCCCAGGAUGGGCUCUGUCUAAACCCUGAGUUCCCACUCCCUGACGCUUCCACUCUCUCCUUUUCCUACUCUUCCCUCAUCCUCUCUAGUCCCCAACCUUGUGUGCUUUCGAGGCCGUCUGUCCCAUCCGGGAUCUCAGAGCAUCUGAAAGUGCCGAUUACCCUGUAGUACUGGGCUAACGCUUCCAGUCAGACAUGGUAGAGGAGGGAAACAAUCGGAGCCAACUGCGCAGUGUUCCCAGAAAAUUCCCCAUGAGAUUCUCUGCCAGGAAGACUCUCGUGCCAAACUCCCCUGGCUGCUUGGAGUAGGCCCUGGCUCAAGUGGCCAUGACAUGGCCUCCAAGGGCCUCUAGAUGAUGGAUAUCAUGUCCCCAGGCUCCAUUGCCUCAGAUCCUUCCCCCUAUUGUGCAUAGCUCGAAGGCUACUUUCCUCACAAAACCAUCUCAAGAACAGCCAGCCCCUCCCACCUCCAGCCACCUACCAUGCUCACACCAGCCCUGAUGCUCCCCAUGAUAAACUCAGGAAGAGAGGGGUUCCCAUAGCUUAGAGCAAUCACUGUGUAGAGACCAGAUUCACAGGACACUGAGACAGAAGCCAAGGUAGUGACGUACGGCCCAGAGGCAGGUUCUGGUUGGUACAUGUCUCUUUUCUCUUUGCAGAAUACAAGGUAAAGAACACAUAGACCCUGGGGUCUCCAGGAUUCUGGGAACCACUACCUUGGGGAGCAGCAAGAGGAUGGCAGCACCAUCUAUGCAGGGAAGAAGCAUAGAUGAAAAACCUUUCAGGACUAACAUCAUCUCACCUCGGCCCAUUGUCCCCGAUUCUCCCUUAAGUCUUCUCUAACCCUUUUCCUGUCCCUAAAGACUCUAGGACACCAGAGGGCCCAACUGGGUGGCUUAACAGCCACCAGCUAUUAGAAACAUUCAGAAGGCCUUGGGCCUACAUUAAUAUGAAGUGCCACCACCAAGCUUAUCUUUAGCAACGUUAGGACACUCUGGGGACCAUGCCAACCCAAGGAGGGCAGACCCAGCCCUUCCUCCUGACUAAAUGUCUGGCCUUAGUGGAUAGAAAAAGGAGCCCAGGCUCAAACUGAAGCUGGAAGAGACAAACUUACCCCCCACACCCAAGCGAGACAUGCCCGCCUUUCUCCUUAGAUCUACCCGUAUGAGCUGUUGCUGGUGACAACAAGAGGAAGGAACCGGCUGCCAAAGGAUGUGGACCGGACACGCUUAGAGCGCCACCUGUCCCAGGAGGAGUUCUAUCAAGUCUUUGGCAUGACCAUCUCCGAGUUCGAGAGACUUGCGCUCUGGAAGAGGAACGAACUGAAGAAGCAAGCCCGGCUGUUCUAGGCGUAGGCUCUAUACAUAUAGAUGCAUUUAUAUAAAGAUGUAUGUAAAUCUCUAUCCUGACGCGCGAUAUAAUCCUCUUGUAUAAUGGGACACAACAUGCUGCCUGCCAUGAGACUUGCUUUUCUGUACUGUCAGGCGAGCCCACAUCGUCGAGGUAUUUUUAUGCUCCUUACAUGUCUUUUCUAAGUACUCUGGGACCAGGGAAGGGAUUUGAAGGGACUCCAUCCUUUUACUGGGAUCCUUUUUAUACUGAAACAUCUGUCCCACCUUGAGUCCCCAAGGUCUAACUCUCCUUUUGAAAGGUGCCUGGAGGCAUCUCUACUCCCUGCUUCAGGACCAUCUCCCAGUCUCCAGGGCUGAUGCUGACCUUGCAGUUUUCACUGUGGUCACAAAUGGGCCCUUCCGGUGGAAAGUCCACCAUGGUCCACCCAAAUCAGUGAGCACCUCGGAGGCCUCUUGAAGAAUUUUCUCCGCACCUCCAAAUAGGAGCUAAGCCGCUCUGUGGGGUGAUGCAGUUAGAUAUGUGGGCCUCAAAUCCAUUCCUUACAUCAGUACAGAGUGGAUGGGUCCUGGCCUCUCCUCAGCGCAGCAACCCCUCCUCCUUCGACCCUUGGUCCUGACCACACUCCCUCGUGCAAAUCUAGAAUUCAUGGUAGGAAAAGGAAAACGGCACUUCCCUUCCCCCUACCACCUCCAACUGGCUCCUCUCCCUGCCCCACAGUGGUCCCAGCACACACUCCCACCCUUCCGCCUUUAUAGGAGAGGCCAUUGUUGCAGCCUGUACUCUUCAGCCUUAUUACAGUCUAUGUGCCUGAUGACCUACACACCACAGGGCUAAUGUUCCCACCAUAGCUCCAGCAAGCAUCUGAGAUAGACACCCCCACCCCUGUCCAGGGAAAAUAGGCCACAGCCCAAAGAAAAAUCUUGGCCUAUGCUACUGGUCCCUCCCUAGAUGGCAAUCAUUCAUGUUGGACCCACACACACACCCAUCCCCUUGAGUCUGCUACAACAUUGGUUGCAUCUCCCAGGGGAAGCUUUUAGAAGCGUGGAUGUUGAGGGGAUUCCAGAAUGAGGCAUUGAGCAGCCCUGUUCAUGCUCUGCCCCCAGAGACCUCAGGGACUGGACUCUUUCUCUUCCUGCGACAGGUGAAAACAGAACCUUCUCUCACCACCCCUGCUACCAUUCUGAGCUGUUUACUGGUGGCCGCUCUUCCUUCUUGGAGAUGCCUGUGUGACACUCUUUGGGGGGUCAUAGAAGAAAGAUGGAGAAGUGUUAAAAAGACAAGGAUGGUGCUCGAAAUGCUGGUGAUGUGGCAUAGCAAAUGUACAGCUGACUGCAGCAAACCCUUUCUGGGCACCUGCUGAAUGCUGAGCACGGAGUGGGGGAGGGGGGAGGGGCACUGGAAUGAAUCAAAGAGGGCCCUAGUUUCAGGGGCACGUCUAGUAAUAGGAGUCCUGGUAAGACGUACCAGACAUAUCGGAUGCAAGGCAGAAAGUGAUGGACGGAGGCCUGAGAAAGGAUAUGUGAUGUUGCUGAAGGUGUGUGCAGCCAGUGCAGACCAAGGAAGCUUCUAGAAGAGAUUGCGUGUGAGCAAAACCAGGAAGGAUCUGAGGAAUCUGCGAGUUGGAAGGGUGACAGGGUGGAGGGAUUAUGAAGGAAGUCUAAUGUACUCUCAUUUAAAAAAAUGUCACCUCCCUGCAACUUCUCUUUUUGGCCAAUGUCUUUCAACUUUCCUGACCCAUUAGAAACGUCCCCAGCCAGAUGCAAUCAUUGAGAUUGCCUCAUUGUCACUGGUUAACGACUUGGGAGAUUGAAGGGCUUUUGUUAUUGUUGUUGGAUAUUUUUGUUUCCCAUAAAAGCACAUCAUUUCAA
RNA transcript from Chionomys nivalis (European snow vole), 5567 nucleotides. It is a transcript of the gene named actin binding LIM protein family member 3, with no coding region annotated. Lineage: Eukaryota; Metazoa; Chordata; Mammalia; Rodentia; Cricetidae. The transcript is spliced from 19 exons. The record is from RefSeq and is a predicted model, not a curated record.